Small nuclear RNA from Heterocephalus glaber (naked mole-rat), 141 nucleotides. Its record names the gene U2. It matches the Rfam family "U2 spliceosomal RNA". Rfam says of the family: U2 is a small nuclear RNA (snRNA) component of the spliceosome (involved in pre-mRNA splicing). Complementary binding between U2 snRNA (in an area lying towards the 5' end but 3' to hairpin I) and the branchpoint sequence (BPS) of the intron results the bulging out of an unpaired adenosine, on the BPS, which initiates a nucleophilic attack at the intronic 5' splice site, thus starting the first of two transesterification reactions that mediate splicing. NCBI's taxonomy places the organism in Eukaryota, Metazoa, Chordata, Mammalia, Rodentia, Bathyergidae. The record is from Ensembl.
AUCGCUUCUCAGCCUUUUGGCUAAGAUCAAGUGAAGAAUUUGUUUGACCCAAAAGUUCUAAGUAAUCAUAUGAUCGUUAUUCAAGAUAAUACUUUCCUAUCAAAUGUUAUUUUUCAAUGUAAACAACAAUGACAACCAUAU